RNAcentral lists this long non-coding RNA (28220 nucleotides) under Malus domestica (apple). RNAcentral describes it as "long non-coding RNA (MDOM_LNC007027)". Lineage: Eukaryota; Viridiplantae; Streptophyta; Magnoliopsida; Rosales; Rosaceae. The record is from RNAcentral.
UCCGCCAUGGCGAGAGCCGAGACCCUCUCCACCUCAGUGAUCGACCCACCAACAAUUUCCAACUCUUCUGAUCCACCCUCGUCUUCACCAUUAAAUGUGCAUGAUCCGAUUGAGGUUCGACUUGAAACUGAUUCAGGGUCAAGGUGACGCCGGUUUGCAGACAAUAUCUCAUAAAACUCCCUUUCAAGCCUUUUCAUAGCUGUUUGCAUUAGGUUUUGAGCAAGCACGAGCUUGCUGGAUGGAGAGCUUUCAUGAACCAAAACAUGCAUAGCACUACGCAAGUCCUUUACGGAUUUGAGAAGCUGUUUGGCCUCUUUUCUGCUACUCUGGAAGAUAGACGUGAGUUUGGUGUAUGAGGAGGAGUUUGGAUCCCAUUUCGUGAUGAUGAAUUCAGCUGUUUCGAUGUUUUCCUCCAUCAUCGAAAGAGACAAGGUCGGGGAAGGUUUUGGACCGGUGGAAGUGCUUGAAGGUGUGUAAGAAGAAUGGUUUUUGACAUGCGAGAAGGAAAAGAGGCAUGACAUUCCUUUCCUUGGUGUGAGUGUAGUACUACCACUCUUCAGGUACUCGGAGAGCAUCAUUGAGCUGGGAAUGGUGUCGAGAGAGAGAGAAAGAGAGAGAGUUGAGCCGGGAAUGGUGUUGAAAGAGAGGGAGAGAGAGAGAGAGAGAGAGAGAGAGAGAGAGAGUUGAUUUUAUGGUUGUGGUUUUUGGUUCUGGAAGGGUUUUAUAGAGGAGAGCCGUCCGGUUUCCAGUUGAGGGAGGUGGAUUUGCUUAUUUGCUUGGAACCUUACUAUUUGACUGACUCUGGAUCUGAUUUUUCAAUAUAAUUAAUCAAGCAAUUUUUGCAUCAUAUUUUUAGUUUUUUUAAUUUUAAAUAUAUCAUGUUCAAUGAAUCAUAUGGUCAAGCUGCAUGCAUUCUUCUAGUUAGUCAAAUUUAAAUCCCUUUGCUUGUAUCCAAAUAUAUAGAGAUUUCGCUUUCUGUUGAAUAAUUUGAUUUAGUAGUCAAAUUGUGAAUCUGAAUUUGCUGAUUGAGUGAUAUUUUCAAUGAGCGAUCGUCUAAUUAGCAAUUUGAACUAGUAUCUGGCUUGCUCCAAAAUGCAACUGAUCGAUAUUGUUAAUUUUAGAUGAAGGUGGAGUUGUGGUCCUUUUGGAAGAGAAAAGAGCUAGGGUUGGUUCCACAACAACCGGGAAGCAACCUGGAAAGAGCGGGGUUUGAUUAGUUAAAACCAUUUUUCAAGUUUCCAGUUCGUCCAAACAAGAACCAAACUAAUUAUGACUGACUUGAUAAACUAGUGUUUACUUCUAAUGUCAUCAUUCUUCACGCGACUCAUAAAUGGACGCUUUUAGAAAGAUACCUUGCUCACCAAAAUGUUAAGAUAAAUGUUAAAAAUGGAUGAUCUGUGUAGCUAUCGGUGUGACUGUUAAUCGUUUAAUAUAUGUGAAUUCCACUUGAAUUUACUUUAGAGUUUGUUAACCAACACUCUCUCAUAGAAGUGGAUUCUUUUUUAUUUAUUUAUUUUAUGAAUAAACGAUAUUUUCUAUACUAAGGGAAUGGGAUGGGUUUAGGCUAGUAAUAAUGUGGUUCAAACCCGCAUUGGGCGAUAAUCGAACCUAAAACCUCUUCAUUACAAACGAAAAGGAAUACCACUAGAUCGUAAUAUUAAGUGGCCAUAGAAUUUGAUUCUUAAAAUAAGAAAAUAACAAAUACUUAUUUGAAAUAUAUUCCCAAAGACGGUGCAUCUUAACCAUAAAAAAAAUGUUCCUCACUAUUCCGACAAGUUCUCAAUUACGUAGAUAGGUAAGCUUAUCAAUUAUCGAUGGUGAAAGGCUAAUUAGAAUUUGUCAAAGGUAUGCACCCAUAAAUCAAAUAAUAAUUAUUAUGUGCACCUACAUUUGACUUGCAUGCAUGAUCUCUGAUCAACGGCUGAAAAUAUGAGAGAGAACCAGUCUCUGGGCUGCCACCAUUGUUAAUUAAACUUCGUUUAUAAUUAAGCAAUAAUGUUUACCAAAGCUGGCAAUGGGGUUGAUAAGAUAGAGGAUAUCAUCAGCGUGGAUUGGAGAGCUAGUUAGAUCUCCACGUACAAAUGCACGUGUAAUGGUAUGAAUUAACGAUAAGAUUGAUUUUUCAUAAAUUUUUGUGUUAUAAGUUAUAACACAAAUUAGAUUAAUAGCAUCACGUGACGUUAUUGACGAUAAUCAUAACCAAAGUCUAAAAUAUCGAUGAUAUCAGAAAUCGGUAGUCUAAAAACAUGGAAAUUUCGAUGGAAAUAUCGAGAUAUUAUCGAUAUCGAUAAAAAUUGAAUAAAAACCACGGAAAUUGUAAGAAAAACUUGGAAAUUUUUAUUGAAACUUUGCAUGAUGUUUAUUUAGUCAAUUAUCUAUUAGUUUAUCGCAAAAAAUUGGAAGGAAAUGCAUUGCAUGAUUGAUUUAACUGAUUUAAGUUGAUUAUAUAGCGAGCUGACAAACAUUGUGAGUGUAGAAAAUAUGUAGUAAUUAAUGAAAGAAGUUUAAACACACCAUAAUCAUUUAUAUAUAAUGAAUUAGUACAAUAUUUUACACUUUAUACAUUGCAUGGUAAGAUACAUGAGUAACUUAGUACCACAUAGAGUUCCUAUGAGAUUCAAAAUGUUCACUAUCUUCAUCAUCUCUAUGUGUAUAGUAAGUGUAUUUUAGCAUAUUUUCACAAAAACAUAAGUGAUAUGGUGGUCAAGGUGUUGAAUGAGUAAAAUGGGAGGGGUUCGAAUUUCCUUGGUGUUUUUUUAAAUAUAGAAAUUUAUCGUAGAUAAUAAAUAUUAACUUGCAAGCCUUGCAGACAUCUUAACAACCAUAUAAAUAUUAUAGGCUGAAUAUGUAAUCACAAACACAUAUGUAGUGAGUUGGAUAAGGCCCAUGUGCGUGGUUGGCAAAGGGAGGGGUUCGGAUUCCUCUAUGCGCAAGAUUGAGACUUUUCAGCAUUUUUCAAAUAUUUUUGGGUUUCAUCUCGCAAUAUUAUCGAUAAUAUUCUAAAAAACGCUAAGCGUUAGUCGGGCCCUAAGCGGAUUUACGUAAAAUUACUAUAUAUGUUAUAAAAUAUGAGUAUAUUUGUAAUAUUUUAGGGUUUUUUAUGUUGAUUUUGUAACAUUUACUUAGCUUACAUAUUUAAUUCAUUAUUGGACUUUGCUUUUUUUUAUUUAUUCAAAUAUUGGUCUUUGCCCUUCAAUUAAUAACAGCCUUGUUUUCUUAUAAAAAAUAAAUUUAUUCUAUAAUGCUACAGAUGAGGUAAAGAAAAGCAUUGUUUACUUAUUUCUACAGAUCUCUACCCACUUUAAUAUCUUAUCAGCCGGUGACCCUUUACACACAAACCCAGAAAAUCUCUCUCUCUCUCUAGUUUUACCAGAAACCUCUAGCAAGGCCAGAUUCAGAUGCAGAUGCAAGUUGUGAUGCAGGUGCGUCUGCGAGUCUGAUGCAAGUGCGUUUGGUGCAGAUGUUGCUGCGAGAGUUGGAGUUGCAGAUCCUAAUUCUUUAAUCUCUUUCCCUUACUCCAAAACCCAGAAUCGCCCUCUCUUUUUCGUCCCAAAGCCCAUCUGGGUCCAAAAGCCAGAGCUUUUGUUUUUCGACGAAAAUGGCGGUGGCAACGCAGGAGCGGGAGGAAACAGCGGGGGAUGGAGCCGGGGCGGAGAUGGGAACUCCGACGACUCGUCUUCGUCGUCGUCGUUAGUUUCGGGAUUCGGAGUUCUGGGUAAGUUUCUCAAUAGGUGGAGAUCCCGAGUCGCCGCCGAUCCGCAGUUCCUCUUCAAGGUUCUAAUGGAGGAGGUGGUCGGAGUCAGCUCCUGCGUCCUCGGUGACAUGGCUUCCCGGCCCCAAUUUCGGCCUCAACGAGCUCGACUUUGUCUUCUCGACUUUCGUCGUCGGAUGCAUACUCAAUAUCGCAAUAUUAUCGAUAAUAUCGCGACAUAUUGACGAUAAUUAAUUGGAUACGUAUGAAAAUAUCGUCCUCUCACAAAAACGAUAUUAUCGGCGAAAUAUCGUCGAUAAUAUCGAUAUUUUAUACAUUGAUCAUAACAGAAGACUUCUCCUUCUUGUUACCAUUUUCUGCUUAAGCAUCUGGUACAUAUAUUAAUAUUGCACCAUUACUCUCAUUCAAUUAUAUUCUAUAAUUCUAUAACAAGCCUAUUAGAGAAACUUACAUCUAACGAGUUUACCGUCAUAUGACGUUCUGGUCUAAUGAUGCAUUGUUAUGUAUUAGUUAUUUUCAAAUUAUAGACCUAAUUCCUUUGUACCGAAAUAGGGCCGGUCAUAUGACUUUGUAUAAAAAAAAAUUAUUUGUUUUCACACGUAAGAUGUCGAUAAAAUUAUACUUAGAAAAUCACUUCAAACUUAAUAAUUUAGAAACACAAAAAAACUAAUUUAUUUUGUAUUGUGAGAAUUAAACGAAAAAUCUCCAGGUUUACAAGUAGAUAUGAGUUUUGUUUUCCAUCUUAACUUUUAAAAUGUUUUUGCAUAAAUCGUGAGCUGUUUUUUCUUAUUUACUAACCUUGUCAAUAUGAGAGUAAAAAAAUAAUGAUGUUUUUGAGUCUUUAUUGAUAUGUAUAAGUAAUAAAUGGGUACUAAAUUAAACUUUUUAAUGACACGUCAUAUGAUUUGCAAUUUGAAAAAAAUUGGUCAACGCAUUACUCUUUGUUAAAGAUUAGACUUGAAUUGGAACAAAUAAGGAUAGGCAAAUACCUAUUGGAUAUGGGUAACCAUGGUUACCCGCCCAUUUAAAUUAAACGGUUACGGUUAUGGGUAACCGUUUAGAUAACUAAACGGUUAUAGGUAUAACUGCUUACCCGCGAAAUUUAAAUAGGCGGUUAUGGGUAUUAACCACGGUUAUAAACGGGUAACCGUUUACCCAUUUGUUUUAUAUAUGUAAAAUUAACACAAACCAUGCUCUCGAUCUAAUAAUACUUAGCGCCCAAUAAAUUAGCAAGGAAUUCAUCGGUCAUUCUCUCAAUAACACUGCUACAGGAAUGAUGAUUCUCAUCAUCAAGGAAUUCGCCAAAUUAAUUUAAAUUCUUUGCGGGUAACCGUGAGAUUGACAGAAAUGCUUUAAUAGAAAUGUCUUCUAAACAAUUUUUGUAACCCAAUAAUACUUAGCAAAUAUUAUAUUUACCUUCAUUGGUAACAGUUAAAAAUAUCGUCCGUAAACUAUUAUUUCAAUUAUUGGAAUAAUAUAAGAACUUAAAAAAUUAAAAUAUGGAAAUGUAUGAUGAAUGUACCUAUAACGGUGCUUUAACAAUUAAAAAUAUCGUCCGUAAACUAUUAUUGCAAUUAUUGGAAUGGUAUAAGGACUUAAAAAUUUAAAAUACGGAAAUAUAUGAUGAAUGUACCUAUAACGGUGUUUAAUUGUCAAAACAAAAAAAAUUUUGACAAUAUUUUUUUUUAAUUUUCAAGUUAUUAAAAAAAUGUAGACGGGUGAAAAAGGGGUAAUGGUAAAAAAAAAAGAAAGAAAAACGGGUUAAAAGGGGUAAAUGGAUAAACGGGUAUUAAACGGUUACGGUUAAAUGUGUAUGCGGCUAUGGGUAUGGUUAAUCGUUUAUAAACGGUUAUGGGUAUAGUUAUAACCGUUUAGGCAAUUACCCAAUGGGUAAACAGUUAUGCGGGUAUGAGCAUAAACGGUUAUGGGUAAAUAAUCGCAGUUACUUGCCCGCCAUAACCAUUGCCCAUCCCUAGGAACAAAUGUUUAAAAAUAACAACCCACAUAGCUAAUAACUACUAAUUAAAAUUAAAUUAUCAACCAAACAAAAAUUCGUAAAAAUUGAAAAGAAUAAACAUGGACUUAACAUUUCGAACUUAGGACCUCUCGUUAAUUUUAAACAACAAAAACCAUUGAUUUUAAUUAAACUUCUUGAUCAUUUAGCCAAAUUGUAUAAAUUUAUAUUCUUAUGAAAAGAAAUUUGUAAAAAUUGAAAGGUAAAUAAGCACCUAUGAUGUUUUAAACCCAAGAUCUCCUCAUUAAUUUCAAACAACAAAACCACUAGUUCUAGUUACAUUUCUUUGUCAUUGAACCAAAUUUUAUAAAUUUAUACUCUUAUGAAAACAUAUAUAAAUAUACCACCCUAAUAAUUGGUGCCCCUAAUUUUUUUGAAUCCUGGACGGUCGCCCUGAAAGAACUGGGUCUGGCCGGCCCUGACCGAAAUAAGAAUAUAGACCUACGUGGACUGACUCCCACGCAGGCAGGCAGAUCGCAUAUAUUUUAGAUGUGCAAAUCUCGAAUAACGAACCUGUCACUAUAUACAAGUAUAGUGUCUUCUCAAAUAAACCAAAUAAGGGAGUUCAUGAAGAUCUCCUCGUUAGAUUCAUUCCUUGCAACUUUCAAGUCCUUGUUCUACCACCAGAUAUCCACUCGUUUCUCUUUUAUUCAACUACUAUCAUCUAUAAGAUUUGAAUUCAUCACGUCCUCUAAUAUAAAGUGGAAACUGAAUUUCGCUAGCCUAAAUUUGAUCUGCAAAACCCAAUUAGUUGGAAGUAAGUAUUAAUUAUUCACAAAUUUUAUACACAUGCUGAAGUGAAAAGAGAAUGGUGACAAAAAUGACUAAUGGUGCGACUCAGAUUCUAUAGUUCGAGUAUCACAGUGAUUAAGCUUUGAUACAGUUCACGGAUCAUUACUACAUUCAAACAUGAAAAGACCAAGUAGGUCACAAGGAUUCUUGAUUAAGGUAAGUAAUUAGCAGAGAAUGAGAGGAGGAGACAGUUUUAAAUUGGAUCAUGGUUCCAACCAAGCAUGCAAAUUAACUCAGAAAAUUUACUGGGUCGCAACAGCGACUAAUUCAAAUACUAAUCAGAAGCACAUAUUUUAAUCAGAAGCGCCAAUUUUUGUUUUUGCCAUUUAUGUCAAUUAGAUGCUUGGGAAUCAUGGUGGGGUUUUGUUUCUGAACAAAAUUGAAUAUGGGGUUAGAAGAGAUGAGAGAAUUUGUAGACCGCAAACGUGAGUUAGGCUAGUUGAUUAGGGCGGUCCACCCACCGAGCACGAAUUUCGAAUCGCCCUUGCCUAUUGGACUAGUUUUAGAUAUUCUUUUUUCUUGUAAAAAAAAAAAAAAAAAAAGGACUGAAAAAAAAAAAAAGGACUGAAAUUUUGAGAGCAAUACUAGCAUUUUUAGCUCUUUAUUGCUUUAAGAAGAUGGAACAAAAUGAAACCAUUCUUGUAAGUUAGAUGCCCAUUUGGUGCAAGGAUCUGUAAUCAAGUAGCAUAUGGCUGGAUGAGGGACCAGAUAGGCUGGAUUCCAUACUCCUAAGUAAUGCAUCUGUUUUUUUGCUUCUUACUAUUAGGUUUCGUUCGGGGCGGCUUAAGUAGGAAGCAAUUAUGUUCAUAAGUGCUUUUGUAGAAGUAUAUUUUUAUUUUAAAAAAUUGAAUUUUUAUGGAAGUGCUUCUUGAAGAAACAUCUAACAGUUACUUCUCCAUAAGGGCUUCUACGACCUAGAAACACUUCAAUAUUUUUGUAAAAUACAGUUGGAAGUGUUUUUGGUUGUUAGAACAUGCUUAUUGCCCUUUAAAAAGCAGUCUCAAACAUACCUCAAUCUUUCAGAAUACUUAUCAAAAACUAAAAAUUGGAAUGUACAUUUAUAAACAGCUUAUUUUGAAUUUUGAUUGAUAGAAAAAUAAGAUUUGGCAAUAUCAAUAUGACAUUUUUGAAAAAACGGGUUGAGGGUGGAAACAAAAAGAUAGUUUUUGACAUUUUUGCUUUGUCUCCUUACUGGAUGGAAUGUUUUCCGUAUUGCAUCGAUGAGUGGAAUGUAUGUUUUGGUGUUUAGAUGAUGGUCCAGGCUCACUUCGUGAAGGAUGCCGAAAACAAUAACCACUCUGGAUUGUCUUUGAGGUUUCUGGCACCAUUCACCUUUCAUCUUACUUGAGCGUGUCGUCUUAUAAGACAAUUGAUGGACGAGGUCAAAGGAUAAAGCUCACGGGAAAGGGACUUAGGCUGAAGGAAUGUGAGCAUAUAAUUGUAUGCAACCUCGAGUUUGAAGGUGGUAGAGGACAUGAUGUUGAUGGCAUUCAGAUUAAACCGAACUCUAGGCACAUAUGGAUAGACCGAUGCAGCCUUCGUGAUUAUGAUGAUGGACUCAUAGAUAUCACCAGACAAAGUACAGACAUAACUAUCUCUAGGUGGGUUUAAACUUAUGCCCUAUAAUACGAUAUAAAUUUGGAUACUGAUAUAACCUAUCUGAUAGUUUCUCCUUCCCUUUGAACCAGAUGUUACUUUGCACAACAUGACAAGACGAUGCUUAUUGGAGCGGACCCCUCGCACGUUGGUGACAGAUGCAUUCGGGUGACAAUCCAUCAUUGUUUUUUUGAUGGAACAAGGCAAAGACAACCUCGUCUUAGAUUUGGGAAAGUUCAUCUUUACUACAAUUACACUCGAAACUGGGGUAUAUAUGCCGUUUGCGCCAGCGUAGAAUCCCAGGUUAAUGAAACUUCGUAACUAUCUCCUUGAUCUUUAGAAUCUAUCUGAACUGCAUUAUCUAAUUAAGUUGUUUAUAUCAGAUAUACUCUCAAUGCAACAUUUAUGAAGCAGGGAAUAAGAAAAAAACCAUUGAAUAUUAUACAGAAAAGGUGUUAGUGUUUUUGACAAUGGAAGAAGGAGGAAUGCACUAAGAAUGUAAAUGGCUGCUAUUUAUUAACAGAGAGGAAGAAAAGAAUAGCUUGUGAAAAACUAGAGAAAAGAAGAAGCUAAAGAGAAUGAUGAACUCUUCAAUAUAUGUUUUGGGAGAUGAAAAGAUCAACCCAAAUGCCUUACACAUUUCGUUUAUGUAGAGAAAACUAAUAGUUACAAAAGUACAAUACUACCCUUCUCAUAUUCUUUAUCUUUCUAACAACCCAAUCCUACUUAACAAACUUACAACUGUAUAACCGACUAUUUCAACUGUAUAACCAACUAACCAACUACUAUGGUUAUUACUCCCCCCUCAAACUAAGCAUGGGGCAAUCGAGCUUAGUUUGCUGCACAAUUGGUGACAAUCCCAAACCAAGAAACCGGCAAUGCUUCAAGAAAACAGGACUAUGUAAUCCCUUGGUGAAUACAUCAGCAACCUGAUCAUCUGUUGGAAUAUAAUGAACACUGAUGUCACCUUUUUGUACCUUUUCUCGAACAAAAUGGUAAUCUGUAUCAAGGUGUUUGAUCUUAGAAUGAAACACCGGAUUAGAACUUAAGGCAAGGGCUGACAGAUUAUCACAGUGAAGAGCAGGAGGACUAGGAAGAAACUGAUGAAUAUCUUUGAACACAGAUCGAAUCCAUGACACAUCAGCUGCACAGUGUGCCAAAGCUUUGUACUCAGCUUCAGUAGAACUUCUGGAUACUGUAGAUUGCUUCUUGGAUUGCCAGGAAACAGGAUUAGAGCCAAUAUAAACCAGAAAACCUGAAAUUGAUCUUCUAGUAGUAAUAUCUGCAGCCCAAUCAGAGUCUGAAUAGGCAGUGAUGUGGAAAUUGUCACUUUUAGUAUAGCAUAAACCAUAGCUGAUGGUUCCCUGAAUAUAUCGAAGGAUUCUUUUGACCAGAUGAAAAUGUGCAUCAGUUGGUGCUGUCAUAAAUUGACACACCAUAUUCACUGAAUAAGCAAGAUCAGGCCUUGUAAAAGUCAAAUACUGAAGGGCACCAUCAAUACUUCGAUAUUGACUUGGAUCAGAUAACAAUGUACCUUCACCAGCAAGAAUCUAUGUGUGUGGCUUGGAAGCAGUAGACGUGGGCUUACAGGACUCCAUGCCUGCCUUUUUCAACAAGUCUGCUGCAUACUUGGAUUGGUUAAUAAACAGAGACCCAUCAUCAUUGUAAUGAAUAUGCAAACCCAAGAAAUAGCUCAAUCGGCCCAUAUCUUUAAGAUCAAACACUUCUGCCAAGUUGUCGAUUAUGCCUUGUACCUUUAUGGAAUUGGAACCAGUAAGGAUGAUAUCAUCCACAUACAACAGCAACAAAAUAAUAUCUUCAUUAUCAGUCUUGACAAAUAGACUUGAAUCAGAAAGAGAAGGUGUAAACCCAAGGGCUGGAAGAUAGCUUGUAAACUUGGAAUUCCAAGCCCGAGGAGCCUGUUUUAAACCAUAGAGAGAUUUCACUAAUUUGCAAACAUGAGUCGGAUUCUCCUGAUCAACAAAACCUUGGGGUUGCUGCAUAUAAACCUCUUCUUCUAACUCACCAUGUAAAAAUGCAUUUUUUACGUCCAAUUGGCGCAAAGACCAACCAAACUGAGCAGCAAGUGCAAGUAUAAUCCUGACUAUAGUAUGUCUAACAACAGGACUAAAAGUUUCAGAGUAGUCAAGACCAUGUUCCUGUGUAAAUCCCUGGGCAACCAAUCGGGCCUUGAAUCUGGAAAUAGACCCAUCUGGAUUCUUCUUGAUCUUAUAAACCCACUUACUACCAACUAUCAUUCGAUGUGAUGGAAGUGGAACUAAAAUCCAAGUCCCCUGAGCUUUGAGAGCGUCAAAUUCCUCCUGCAUGGUAGUCUGCCAUUCUUUCUUACUGGCAGCACCUUUGAACGUUUUUGGUUCUUCAUGAUCAGAGACAUGAGCCAGAAAUGAGAAACCAGCUUGAUAUGGAUGUAAACAUUGAUUAUCAGAAUUACAAUCCAGUAGUUGUAAAGAAAACAACUCAUGUAGGAAGGCCAGAUAGUUAGAAUAACUUUGCCUCGUGAUUGUACCUGUUUGUAACCGAGUCUGCAUCCCAUGGGAACGUAUCGGAACAUUAUCUGAUGCACUAGAUGAAGAGAAAGCAUCAAAAGGUAGAACUACCUGUAACUGUGCAGGAUUAACGACAGGAAGCAAGGGAAGUGUAUCAGUGUGAAAGGAAAUAGUAAAGCCUGUUGUUGAUGCCGAUUCAAUUGCCUGAGAAUCUGAGACAACGGCAGUAUCAUUGUGUGAGAUAGAUGGAGACUGAUGUCGACUUACAUUGACCUCAGCUGAACUAGAAUCUUGUGCAAGCACUUAAGACUCAUGAAUUGGACUAUUGACAUGCUCUCUGUGAUAUAAAGAAACUGGUAUAAUCACUGGUGUACAUCUCUGGGAAUCAUGACUUUGGACCCCAACUGACUGAACUGCCUUAGGUAAUUUCCCAGGAAAACAUGAUUCAUCAAACACAACAUGUCAAGAUAUAAUACACUUCCGAGAAUAGCCCAAAAAUAUACACAUAGCAGAUCUGGCUUGCAAUUUAUUUGUAGCAUAUGGCCUUAACCAAGGAAACACAGUUGAUCCGAAAAUCUUGAUUGAGUGUACAUCAGGGAUUUUCCUAUAUAGCAUUUGAUACGGAGAGGACAAAGAAAGAAACUUACAUGGCAUUCUGUUAAUCAAGAAGACAGAGUGUGCACAUGCAAAAUACCAAAACUCAGAAGUUAAACCAGCAGCAUUGAGAAGUGUGAUUGCAGUUUCAACUAUAUGGCGAUGUUUCCUUUCUGCCACUCCAUUAUGUUGUGGAGUAUAUGGACAAGAAAUGAAUGGACUUAUACCCUUGCUAGCUAGAAAAUCAGUAAAAGCUUUACUAACAUACUCUAUUCCACCAUCUGUUUGCAAACCUUUAAUGUGCACCCCAAACUUAGUAAGGACAAAAUUAUAAAAUUGCACAAAGAUUUGAAACACAUCUGAUUUAUUACUCAUCGGAAAAAUCCACACAUAUCUGGUAUAUUCAUCAAUUAGAGUUACAUAGUACCUAUAACCUUAUAAGGACUUCACAGGAUAAGGACCCCAAACAUCCGAGUGUAUUUUUUCAAAUGGAGAAGUACAAGUAACUGAUCUAAUUGGAAAUGGAGUUCUAGACAUUUUCCCUUGAAUACAAGACACACAAACACUAGACUUACUAUCUCUAUCAGCCACAAUAUUCGACUUUUGUAACAUACAAUUCAUGAUUUCAGGAGUAGGAUGCCCUAAUCUCUGAUGCCAUGUAUCACAUUUGAUAGCUUUACCCACAUACUCAACUGGACUACUUGUAAUAGACUGUACUCCUCUCUGCCUUUGCACAAUCAGAAUCUGGAACAAUUCUUCAGGCUUACUCUUUCCUUGAUACACUAUUUCCCUUGUCUUCUUGUCCUGCACAAAGAAUUCAGAUUCAUCACAUAUAAACCAGCUCUUAUUGUCAGCACAGAGUUGUUUCACAGAUAAAAGACUUCGCGCAAUAUGUGGAACAUGUAAUACUUUGUUGAGAAUAAGAGAGUGAUUGUUAGUUUGUAAAGUAGUGGACCCAAUAUUUUGGAUUGAUAGAUCAGUACCAUUGCCAAUAGUGAUUUUGUCAGAACCCUCAAAAGGUGUGACAUGAUUCAAGGAAUUAACAUCAGCUGUCAUAUGAUGAGAUGCACCGGAAUCAACAAUCCAGGCAUUUUGAGGAAUAAAUGGCGUGGUUUGUUGAGCAUGCAUUGCAGACAAUGAUGAGGGUGGAAGCUGCCCUUGAUAUGAAUAAUUGCUUAUUUGAUAACAAUCAAGUGCUGAAUGUCCUCUCUUGCCACAGAUUUGGCAUUCAACAACAUAGUUGGAAUUAGUAGCAUUGACGUUCCUCUGAUAACAGUUGGCUGCAGUAUGCCCCCUUUUGUUACAAAUUUGACAUUCUAUCACAGCAUUUGUCCUUGUAGAAGUACUCCCAGACCAAGAAUUAUUACAAUUUUGCCGUGAGUUGCUUGAACCAUAUCAUCGUCCCCUGAAAGUGUUAUUAUUCCUGUAAUUAUUGCCUCUGUAUUGACUCCCAUGUGAUGCUCGAGGCCCAAAUUGGGCUCCCACAUUAAGCUGUGCAGCAUGAUUAUUUGGAUCACUAGGAUGACCAAUAAAACCAUAUCCAUACGACUCACCAGGAUACAUAAGAGAUUGUGAUGGUGGAAGAUAUCCUGCUGGAUAUUGUGAAGGAACAGGAUAAACAGGAUAUUGAAAUGGUGGUAAAGGCAAAGACUGAUGUACUGAAUUUUGUGGACCCUGAGAAGUGGAACCAUAUGGCACCGCAGUAAUUGUUCCCGCAGUACUGGCAGGAAUAUGAUUAUGUGCCUGAGAAUUCGAAGAUGAAGCUGAACUUGAACCAGUGCUUAAACUCGAAACUUGAACAUAUAACGCAGACAAAUUCUGACAAAACAUUAAACUCUCCUUCAAUCUCCCUUUCUGCCCCCAAUAGUUGUGCUCUAAAUUCUUUUAAGGAAAUAGACGACUCUCUGGCCAAAAUAACUGUACGAAUAGUCCCAUAUUCCUUUGGCAAACCAGCAAGACCAGUAAUUAUUUAUGUCAUUGUCAGAUACAGAUUCACCUGCAGCAGUGAGUUGAUCCGUAAUACCUUUCAACUUCAAGAGAUACUUAUCAAUUGUAUCAGACCCUUUUUGAAUGGUAUGUAACUCAGUUUUGAGAUGGUUGACUCUAGACUUAGAAACAGAUGCAUAUCUAUCAACCAAAUUGACCCACGCCUCAUGAGCAGUCCUACAACCAAGAACAUACUCCAUCGCAACAUCAGUUAAAGUGGCAAGAAGUAAACUAAGCAACGCCAUAUCUGUAGACUCCCAAUCCAUAAACGCCUCAGUAAUCUCCUUUGUAACCCCAGCUUCUGGAUUAACCACAUACUUUGAUGGACACAUAGUUGUGCCAUCGAAAUGACCAAACAAUUUAUACCCCCUCAAAACAGACUGAAAUUGAAACGCCAAUUUGGCAAAAUUAUCAUCUUUUAGUUUGAUGGUAAGCAUACCUAGUAUUCCAUCGACUUUAAAAGUUGAACUACCCAUGAUUAUCUUUAAACAAUAACAACUAAUGAUCAAUUGAGAUUAUGCACAGAGACUGACACUUUGAGAAGAAAGGAUAACACCUUCUUGAACACACAAAUUCUUGAUUUAGAAGGAAUGACACCUUCUUGAAUGCAUGAAAGAAUGACACUUCCAGCAAAACAACACUUUCUAAUUAUCGUAGCAAAUCAACAUAUACAAAUCAACAAAAGAACCCAACUCUAUCAAAUCAUUACUCUGCUUAAAUGGAAGAAGCUAAAGAAUCAGAAACCACCUGAACCGAAAAGAAAACCAAUCUUGCUUCAAUCGCACACCAAUAAAGCAACGAACAGCCACCAAACCGAACCCCCAAUGAAGCGACGAACAGCGGAGCACACCAGGAUCACAAUCAGUGACUAAUGCACACCGGCGAUGAUACCAUAUUAACAGAGAGGAAGAAAAGAAUAGCUUGUGAAAAACUAGAGAAAAGAAGAAGCUAAAGAGAAUGAUGAACUCUUAAAUAUAUGUUUUGGGAGAUAAAAAGAUCAACCCAAAUGCCUUACACAUUUCGUUUAUGUAGAGAAAACUAACAGUUACAAAAGUACAAUACUACCCUUCUCAUAUUCUUUAUCUUUCUAACAACCCAAUCCUACUUAACAAACUUACAACUGUAUAACCGACUAUUUCAACUGUAUAACCAACUAACCAACUACUAUGGUUAUUACUAUUCUCUCUGCAAGUCGCAGAGGAACCUUUUUGUAAAAUUAUAUAUAUGUUUCUCUCUCUUUUCACACACAACGUGAAAAGGAAUAAUUCAGUUAACAAAGCCUGGCUGGAUCUUUCCUUCUAGUUAAAAUGAUCACAGCCACUCAUCUAGCAAUAGCUAGGAUCAUCACACAUGGCACUCAUGGCCUUACAUAUUUUGAUCUUAUACUUGGCAAUUUCUAAGCACAAGUGGAUACACAAUUAAAGACAAGAUUAUUCUCAAAUACUAAUCAGCUCAUGGCUUAUAGUUGAACACUCCCCUUUAAGCUUUGAGCUGAUUUGACUCCAAGCAAACCUCUGAGAUAGCUGAAUCGAUCCUUAGCCAAAGGUUUUGUGAAGAUAUCGGCUAACUGCUCUUUUGUAGGACAGUAAACUAGAUCAAUGAUUCCUUAUUGCAGAGCAUCUUUGAUAAAAUGGUAUCUUCGAUCAAUAUGUUUAGUCUUCUGAUGAAACACCGGAUUCUUUGUGAUAGCAAUUGCAGAUGUGUUGUCACACUGCAAUGGAGUGGCUUCAGUUUGAAGUUCCCCAAAAUCUUCCAGUACAAACCUAAGCCAGAUUGCUUGUGCAGUCGCCUCUGAAGCACUAAUAUAUUCUGCCUCAGCAGUUGAAAGUGCUACACAUGUUUGUUUAACUGAUGCCCAAGAGAAAAUCCCACUGCUAAAAGAGAAGGCAUAUCCUGAAGUGCUCUUACUAUCAUCCACUGAUCCUCCCCAGUCACUGUCACAGAAACCAAUCACCAUAGAGUUUGUACCUUUCGCAUACUCCAGACCAUAGUCUAAUGUUCAUUUAAUGUAUCUGAGAACCCUUUUGGCAGUUCUAUAGUGUUUGUUUGUGGGAGAAUGCAUGAACCUGGAAAGUAGACUUGCUGCAUACAUUAUGUCUGGUCUUGUAGCUGUAAGAUACAGUAAACUCCCCACAAUCUUUCUAUAUUGUUCUUCAUUUGUUGGACCACUUCCAUCAUCCUUACUAAGUUUUUUAGCUGAAAUCAGUGGUGUAGACACAGACUUGCAUUCAUUCAACCCAAAUUUAUUCAACAAGGAAGAGGCAUACUUCUUUUGGUGAAUAAAUAUGCUGAAAUUAGUUUGAAUGACUCCCAUUCCUAGAAAAUGGUGAAGUAGACCCAAAUCAAUCAUCUCAUAUUUCAUCAUCAUGUCCUCUUUGAAUUUUUCCAACAUUUCUUUGCUACUACCUGUGUAGACAAUAUCAUCUACAUAGAUAGACACAAUUAUGAUAUCCUUUUCUCCCCUUGACUUGAUGUACAAUGUUGGUUCACUGAGACUCUUUUGAAAACCACACUGGGAGAAGUAUGCAUCAAUUUCUCCAUACCAGGCUCUAGGUGCCUGUUUCAGUCCAUAAAGAGCUUUAUGAAGCCUAUACACUUUAUCUUCCUUGCCUUGCACUGUGAAUCCUUCUGGUUGGUCUACAUAUACUUCUUCCUGUAGUACUCCAUUUAGGAAGGCAGAUUUAACAUCAAGUUGAUACAACCUCCAGCUCUUUUGAGCAGCUAAUGCAAUGAGGGUUCUGAUAGUGUCCAGUCUAGCCACUGGAGCAUAGGUUUCGUUAUAGUCGAAACCAGGUUUCUGAGCAUAACCUUUGGCAACCAACCUUGCCUUAUUCUUCAAGACUGUGCCAUCCAGAUUCAAUUUGGUUUUAUAGACCCAUUUAACCCCAAUAACAGGCUGCAUUGUUGGUCUAUCUACUAAUUCCCAUCUACCAUUCUUUUCAAUCAUGGUCAACUCAUCCUGCAUUGCUCUUAACCAUGAUUCAUCUUGAGCUGCUUCUGCAUAUCUUUCAGGCUCCAUAACACACAGAUUGCAUUGAGCAAAAAUAUCAUCAAGAUUUCUCCAUUUCAGAGGUGUGUGGUCAUAAGCAUCUGAAAGCUUUGCAGAUUUAGGAGUGCAACUUUCUUGUUCUUGUGUAUGAGAAGGAGAACUAGGGUUGAGAGAACUUCCUUCAAUCACACUCAUCUCAUAUGAAUUCACACCAACUACAUUUUCAGGUUGAUCCUGAAUGUAGGUUGCAGCAACUGAACCUUGUGAAUUUUCUUUCCAAUUCCAGGUCAUAGAUUCAUCAAAGACUACAUCUCUUGACAAGAUUAACUUGUUAGUACAUGGAUUAAAUAUUCUGUAUCCCUUCUCACAUGUAGCAUAACCCACAAAUACACCUUUAACACUCUUAGCAUCUAGCUUCUGUCUUGUCUCAGUAGGUACAUGUACAUAGCACAGGGAACCAAAAAUCUUGAGAUGUGCUAUGCCUGGUUUUCUGCCACUAUAAGCUUCAAAAGGAGUUGUAUUUCCAAGUGCCUUUGUAGGACACCUAUUUAGAAUAUAUACAGCUGUGUGUACAGCUUCAGCCCAAAGAACAUAUGGCAUACCUCUAUCAUGAAGCAUAGUUUUUGCCAUUUCAACCACAAUUCGAUUGUUCCUUUCCACCACUCCAUUCUGUUGAGGAGUAUAAGCCAUGGUGAGUUGCCUUUGAAUGCCUUCAAUUUCACAGAACUUAGUGAACUCAGAAGAUAAGAAUUCUCCACCUCUGUCACUCCUUAGACUUUUAACUUUGAAACCACUCUGCAGUUCCACCAUUGACUUGAACCUUUUGAAAUAAUUGAAUGCAUCAGAUUUGUAUCUGAGAAAAUACACCCAAAUCAUUCUUGUACAAUCAUCGAUGAGUAACAUGAAAUAUUUGUUUCUAGCCAAGGAUGCAUUCUGCAUAGGACCACACAAAUCAACAUGAAUAAGUUCCAGGGGAUAGUUUGCUCUCCAGGAUUGUUUCUUUGGAAACCAGUCUCUAUGUUGCUUUCCAAAUUGACAUCCUUGACAUACAUCUUUGAUUUCUUCUAGGUAUGGAAGACCAUGCACCAUAUUUUUCUCACUGAGUUGCUGCAACCCCCUGAAGUUCAAAUGACCUAGUCUUCUGUGCCAAGUCCGAGUAGAGUGAUCUAUGCUCGCUUUCAGAACCAACUGAUUGUCGUGCAACAAAGAAAGAGGAUAGCAACGAUUUUCCUUCUUCUUGACCUUGAUGACAAGAUUGUCAAGUGAAGGUCCAUCAAAUACACUACAUAAACCUCCUCCAAACACUAGAUAAUAUCCAUGCUCAUCCAUUUGACCUACACUCAACAAAUUUUCCUUCAAUCCUAGCAAAUGCAUGACCUCUCUAAUGUACUUCUUCCCUUUAUUAGUAUCAAUUUCCAAUGAGCCCAUUCCAGCAACAUUUACUAACACCCUCGUAGGCAUUUGCACCUUUCCAGCAACAUUUGUUCUUAUAUCAACAAGGAGAUCAGCAUUCCCUGUCAUGUGGUUACUACAACCACUGUCAAUGUACCAAUUUCCAUUGACAUUUUUCUCUGAAAUUGCACUAUUAGCAUAGAACAGAUUCCCUGUCACUUCCACCUGAUUUGCAGAAUUUGCCUUUUGCACAAUCUUCCCUAUAGUGCAUUCUCUAGCCCAAUGACCAAACUUAUCACAGUUAUAACAUUUGGGCUUCCCUUUAUAUCUACAUUCACCAAAAUGGAACUUAGAGCACACUCUACACUGUGGUUUGGUACUCUCUUGACCCAUUAACUGUGUCUGGUAUGAAUUGGAUGCAGGGCUAUUGAGAGGUCUCUGUUGAAAUCGAGACUUUGGAUCCCAUUUCUUUCCCUUGGGAUUCCAAUUCUUCUGAAAUUUUGAUGAACCAGAUUGAGCUCCACUCAUAUUCUGCCCUUGUGGACUCACUGAGAAUGAUGCAAAUGCCUUCUCAGUGGUAUCAACAUUAUGUAGAUCAAACCGUUGUUCUUGAUUCUUCAAGAUUGCAACAACUUCCUGCAAUUCUACAGUCUCUAGACACUUUGUAUUUUCUAUAACCAAACAGAUCGAAUCAUAAGGUUUACUUAGGCUUAUUAGAACAUUCUGCACAAGUCUCUCAUUAGAAAGAGAUUCACCAAAUGUUCUCAUCUGAUUAAUUAAGUCAUUCAGCCUUGUGAGAUAACUAGACAAGGAUUCAUCAUCUCGCAUUCUAGCAUACUCAAAUUCUCUUCUAAGAUUUUGAAGUUUUACAGAUCUAACCUGAUUACCACCAUGGUAUUCACCGUACAGUAGAUCCCAUGCCAUCUUGGCUGAGUCAGCGUUUGCAAUCCGAGGAAAGAUCUGAUCAGAGACUGCGUUUUGUAUAAUUCCCAGAGCCUUUGCAUCUCUCAUUAGCACUGCCAUCAUUUCUUCAUCACGAUCGUCUUCCGAUGACCCUUCAGCUUCCUUCUUCUUCUUCUUUGAAUCAGGUGUUGGCAAUCCCUUUUCUACCAGAUUCCAUAACCCAAUGGAUUUGAAGAUUGUUACCAUUUUAAUUCUCCAGAACUCGUAUUUCUCACCGUAGAAGAUUGGAGUUCUCACCUCCGAGCCUCCAGAUCCAGACAUCUUGCAAGCCUUUCGUGAGCUUCGAUUGAGCUCAGUGACCUCACAGAUUUACGCCCAGAUUUUAAAUGGCGCAACCUGGCUCUGAGGCCAUGUUAGUGUUUUUGACAAUGGAAGAAGGAGGAAUGCACUAAGAAUGUAAAUGGCUGCUAUUCUCUCUGCAAGUCGCAGAGGAACCUUUUUGUAAAAUUAUAUAUAUGUUUCUCUCUCUUUUCACACACAACGUGAAAAGGAAUAAUUCAGUUAACAAAGCUUGGCUGGAUCUUUCCUUCUAGUUAAAAUGAUCACAGCCACUCAUCUAGCAAUAGCUAGGAUCAUCGCACAUGACACUCAUGGCCUUACAUAUUUUGAUCUUACACUUGGCAAUUUCUAAGCACAAGUGGAUACACAAUUAAAGACAAGAUUAUUCUCAAAUACUAAUCAGCUCAUGGCUUAUAGUUCAACAAAAGGUACAUGACCAUCUCUCGCUCAUUUUUUUGAUAGUUUGAUAUGAACAAGAAGAACGUAGGUUCAUUAUAUCCACAGUAGCAUUCUAUUCUGAGGCAGGGUACAGUGACAAAAAAGUCACAUGAAACUUUUUAAUUUCAUACCGUCUGGUAUUUAUUUACACUGAAAGGAAUAUAAGCUAUUUGUACAACUUACAUCCCGUUUCUGAGUAGACAUUCUUUUUCAAAUGUAUAUAAUCUUCCAAUAGGCAGCAGACAGAGAAGUGGCAAAGUCCGGCUUCAUAAUAUCCGAGGGCGAUCUAUUCCUCAAUGGAGCUCAACCAUGCACAUUGACAGGGUUCAGUGAAGAAUGCCUGUUCCAUCCAAGUGAAUUUUAUCCACAGUGGACUAUGGAAGCAGCCUCAGAUUCUCUUAAAGCCAUUCUCCAAAUUCUUACUGGCUGGCAAUCCAUUCAUCGGCCAGCAGAGCAGGCGGUAACUGUAUGAUUUUAUGUUAUCACUACAUCUGUAACAGGAUUUUUUAGGUUCUAUAACAGAAUAGUCUUUGAUUAUAUUUUUAAUAAACUCUAGCAGAUUUGCUAUCUGCUGUUGUAAUACUUACGAGUUUGUCAAUUUGACUUAUUAAACCCUGACAAAAGUCAUUCUGUCGUAGCUUAAAGACAGAACCUAUCAAUUAUGAUAAGCACUCCAUAACACACAUGCCAUGUUUGUUCUCAUGUAUGUAUGUAUGGAUCCUGUAGAUAAAGAUGUAUUAUUUCACGUUAAACGUGCAUAGAGAAAAGAAUUCAACUAGAUUGGCCGGCUCAGGCGCAGUUGAGUUUAUUUGAUAUGGGAUUUAACACCUUUAUAUUUUGCAAUUGUUUGACUUUGUGUUAACAUGACCUAAUCAGUUUUAUUUUUAUAUUUUCUAUUUGGAAAUGUUAAGCAUUCAAACAUAUACAUCUUUAUAUAUGAUCAUUUGGUUUGAAUUUAAAAUUUUCAUAAACUUCCAAAUUGAUCUGAAGGGACGUGGUGGGAAAUAAUGAAUCUGAAGGGAUAUAAAUGCAAAUGAUGUCAUUUAUUUCUUUCAUAAUUGACUAGAUGGUUCUCUAUAUCUUGGUUAUAGAAAUAACUUAAAGCUUGAGAAAAUUGGCAGUUCUUAUUCUCUCUGUGUUACCUGUAUUAGUUAUCAAAAUGGUGUAAGUUCUAUUUGAGAGCAAACACUUUAUGAUUUGUACAAAGACUUUUGGGACGACAAGGAGAUUAACAUUAGCACAUGCGGUAGACUUUUAAGGAGUUGUAUUACUUAGGUAUACAAGUCAGAAACAUUCUUAGAUAAACUAGAACUCUUCUAGCUGAUUUAUGCAUAACUAAUCUUCGGUGAUAAGGUUAAUCUUUGAUAGGGUUUACUUAAUGGGAGGACUCCUAAUCAAAGACCAUCACAUAUAGUAUAACUGAGGUCCCUGUGCUCUCACUAAACACACGCAAGUUUACAAAAAUUCUCAAGCCCCAUUGAGUGAGUCUUGCUUCCGUUCAGUGCAGAGUUACAGAAGAGCCUCAGUUCCUUACCCUAUUUCUGAGACGAUGUCUUCCUCAGGUUAGUGGUUAGAUCGGUAUAUGAGUCAGUCUUUAUAUAUAUAUAUAUAUAUAUAUAUAUAUAUAACUAAUAAAGCUUUACUUACAUUUGGUAUCAAAGCCCUCACAUAUCAUCUGACCCUAUGUGAAAGGCAUCAAGAAAUUUCAUUCUGUCUCGCAGGUUAUGGAACUGGAACUGUAUCAUCAAGGAAAAAUAUAUAAAACACGUUCAAGGAUAACUAAAGUUAUCCUUGAUCAUAAGGAUAUUAUGUUUUUCAAUCGAUACAUGUACCAGUGAUGGUGCUUAAAAUUCAAGACAUGAUUAUUGAUCAUCUAAAGAUGAUUUUUCUUUCAUGCUUCGAAUUUGAGCAGCGUAUCAUUAUAUAUAUAUAUAUAUAUUUGAAUCAAAUUAAUAUUGUCAAACCACAAAGGCUUGUGAUUUUAAUUACAGAAAUUCGAAUGUUGACUAUAAAAGUGAUAUGAUUAAAGAAAGUUUUCACAUAUUCAUCAAUCUAAAGAUGUUGAAGAUGUGAUUUAUGGUUUGGGGUUAAAGAUUAAUACUCUUUACAUCAUGAACGUUUUCUUUUCAGUGAAUCCCAACUCUUUGAAUCUCAAUACAGUUGAGCCUCUUACUGGUGUCAACUAUAGAAAGUGGAAACAAGAUCUCGAAAUCGUUUUGGGAGUUAUGGACUGGGAUUUGGCACUGAGAACUGAAGAGCCUCCGGCACUCACUGAUGACAACACCUCCAAUCAGAAAUCCAAGUAUGAAAAAUGGCACAAAUCCAACAGAAUUGCCCUAUUGAUCAUCAAAAGGAGCAUGACAGAUGUGGUGAGAGGUGGCUUUCCUGAUGAAACAAAUGCAAAAGAUUUUCUGAAGUCCAUUGAGGCAAAGUAUAGGGAAUCGCCAAAAACUGAGACAGGUAAUCUCAUGAAUGCUCUCACUACUAUGAGAUAUGAUGGGGUUCAAAGUGUGCGAGAAUACAUAUUGAAGAUGGUGGACGUUGCUGGAAAACUCAAUGCACUUGAGGUACCGAUUUCUGAUACUUUUCUGGUACAUGUCAUUAUGAAUUCUCUGCCUGAGAGUUAUACACAACUCAAAGUUUAUUAUAAUGGUCUACGUGAGAAAUGGGAUGUGAAUGAAUUGAUAGCUAUUUGUGUGAGUGAAGAAGAAAGGAUGAAGAAAGAAAGGUUUAAGAAAGAGAGAAUUGAGUCUGUGAAUUUUGUCCAAAGUGUCACUAGGGCCACUAAAUCUCAUAUCCCUAAUACUGCCAAAAAGGACUCUACCAAGUCAGUUCCCUCUCCUAAAAGAAACUUCAAACUUAAUAAACCUUCAAUUUUCAAGUGCUAUUUUUGCAAAAAGGCAGGCCACAUGAAGAAAAACUGUCCCAAAUAUAAGGCUUGGCUUGCCAAACAAGAAGCAAAGAAAGGUAAAAAUGUUUUUGCUUGUUUUGAAUCAAAUUUAAUUAACAUACCUAGCACCGAAUGGUGGCUUGACUCGGGCUCUUCUAUACAUGUUACAAAUUCAUUACAGGACUUCACAACAAGGAGAACACCAAAUAAAGAUGAAGUCAAAGUUUCGGUUGUCAUGGAAGAAGAGUUGAAGUCAAAGCCUUAAGAAGUGUUAGACUAAAGCUAGAAUUUGGUUUUUAUUUAGAGUUAGAUAACGUUGUUUAUGUGCCUUCCAUGAAAAGGAAGUUGAUUUCUAUUUCAAAGCUAGUGUUAUUGGGUUUUUAUUUUACUAUUAAUAAAAGGGGCUUUAACGUUUUUUAUGAGUCUUCUCAAGUAGGACAUGGUUUCAUGAGUGAUGGUAUGUUUCAACUUAAAUUGAAUCAAACUGAAUAUGUUUUCAACGUACAAGAUGAUAAAAUCAAAACUCAACAGUCUUCAAUAUUAUGGCAUAAGAGACUCGGCCAUAUUUCUAAACAAAGAAUGGAGCUGCUUGUCAAAAACGAAAUUCUACCUCCAUUAAACUUCAAUGACUUUGAUUUUUGUGUGGAUUGCAUUAAAGGGAAAAUGACAAACACUAGAAAAGAAGGCUCAACUAGGAGUAAGCAACCCUUAGAGAUCAUUCACACGGACAUUUGUGGUCCUUUUCCCACACAAACCUUAGAAGGAAACAAAUAUUUCAUAACUUAUAUUGAUGAUUUCUCAAGAUUUUGCUUCAUUUAUUUGAUUUCAGAAAAGUCUAAAGCACUUGAAACUUUAAAAUUUAUAAAAGUGAAGUUGAAAAUCAAUUGGAAAGGAACAUUAAGGUUGUAAGGUCUGAUAGGGGAGGGGAGUACUAUGGUAGAUAUACUGAAAUUGGUAGAAAUCCUGGACCCUUUGCGUCAUUUCUGCAAGAACAUGGAAUUGUAGCCCAAUAUACCACACCAGGUACUCCGGAGCAAAACGGAGUAGCCGAAAUGAGGAAUAGAACUCUUAUGGACAUGGUAAGGAGCAUGAUUUGUAGAACUAAUCUGCCAAGUUGUUUGUGGGGUGAAGCAGUGAAAACUGCAAAUUAUAUAUUAAAUAAGGUACCUUCAAAAUCUGUGGAAGGGACACCUUUCGAACUAUGGACAGGCAGAAAACCGAGUUUAAACCAUUUGCAUGUAUGGGGCUGUAGAGCAGGCAAAGAUAUAUAAUCCCGGCUACAAGAAACUUGAUUCAAAGACUGUCAGUUGUCAUUUUAUUGGAUAUGCUGAAAGAUCGAAGGGUUUUAGAUUCUAUUGCCCUAACCAAAAUACAAGAAUUGUCGAAACUGGAAAAGCAGUUUUCAUGGAGUCUGAUGCAAGCGUUGAUUCUGGGACAAGGGUUGAAGGGUUCGUAUUUGAAGAAGAAAUUAACAAUAAAGAAGCUGCAGUUGAAAAUGUUGAUCGUAACACAACGAUUAUGGCACCAAUAAUUGUAGUAACCGAGAACAUGGGAAGCAAUGAUUCUGAUGAACCAUGUAACGAGAUAGAGGUUGCACAUGACAUCGAACUGCACGAUAACACUGUCGUACAAGAUGUGUUUGAAGAGGCUAUGACAGAAAAUCAACAACAACAACACCAUGCACAUGAAGACAACAUCACGGAUGUGGGUGCUGCAAAUAUAAGAAGGUCAUCUAGGGUUAGAAAACCUACAACCCUAGAUGAUUUUGUAUAUUUGACACAGGUUGACACUGAUCUUUCAGAGUUUAAUGAUCCACUGAGUUACAAAGAAGCAAUUGCAGGACCAGAUGCUGGUAAAUGGAUAGAAGCCAUGAAGAGUGAACUGAGUUCGAUGGCAAACAAUCAAGUGUGGGAUUUAGUGGAACAGGCAGAAGGAUCAAACCCAUAGGAUGUAAAUGGGUUUUUAAAACAAAAAGGGAUUCAAAUGGAAACAUAGAAAGGCACAAAGCCAGGCUCGUUGCGAAAGGCUUCACACAAAAGGAGGGUGUAGACUACAAAGAAACAUUCAGCCCCGUGUCGACAAAUGAUGCGUUUAGGGUUAUCAUGUCUAUGGUGGCUCACUUUGAUUUGAUUUUACAUCAAAUGGAUGUAAAAACGGCGUUCUUGAAUGGGGACCUUGAAGAGUGCAUUUACAUGCGACAACCAGAAGGUUUCAAGGAAGAAGAAGGAAGAAACCUAGUGUGCAAACUCAACAAAUCCAUAUAUGGAUUGAAGCAAGCAUCACGGCAGUGGUACUUGAAAUUUCAUAGAAUUGUGAAAGAACAUGGCUUCACUGAGAAUCCUUCAGACAAUUGCAUCUAUCAGAGGUUCAGUGGGAGCAACUUUAUCAUCCUAGUUCUCUAUGUGGAUGAUAUACUGCUUGCCACGAAUUGUCACAGUUUAUUGGAUGAUACAAAAACUUUUUUGCAUAAGCAUUUUGAAAUGAAGGACAUGGGAGAAGCGACUUAUGUUUUGGGCAUUGAGAUCAAAAGGGAUAGAAAGAGAGGCUAGCUAGGAUUGUCACAGAAAGCAUAUAGAGAAAAUGUUAAGAAGGUUUAACAUUUCUUUGUGUGGAACUACCGAGAUGCCUAUAUCGAAGGGUGAUAAAUUGAGUAAGCUACAGUGUCCACAAACAGACUUAGAGAGGAAGGCUAUGGACGACAAACCAUACGCCUCCGUGGUGGGAAGUUUAAUGUAUGCAUAGGUGUGCACAAGGCCUGACUUGGCUUUCACCAUUUCUGUGCUUGGGAGGUUUAAGUCCAAUGCAGGUGAAGCUCACUGGAAUGCUGCCAAAAGGGUUUUGAGAUACCUUCAGAGACCCAAGGAUCAUAUGUUGGUGUAUAAAAGAACCGAGAGUUUGGUUUUGGAAGGGUAUAGUGAUUCAGAUUUUGCAGGUUGUCCAGAUGAUAUGAAGUCGACUACAAGUUAUGUUUUCUUAAUGGCAUGUGGUGCGGUUUCCUGGAAGUCUGUCAAACAAGGAACUAUGGCAGCAUCAACAAUGGUUGCAGAGUAUUUAUCAGUCUGUGAAACAGUGAAUCAAGCUAUCUGGUUGAAGAAUUUCAUACUUGGGCUUCAAGUAGUGGACUCUAUAUCGAGACCUAUACAGAUUUUCUGUGAUAAUAAUGCAGCCAUAUUCUUUACUAAGAAUAAUAAGAGGUCUAAUGCAACAAGGAAUUUCGAUAUAAAAUAUCUCAUUGCUCGAGAGAAGGUGAUGGCCGGUCUAGUUAAAGUUGAUUAUUUGGAGACUGGAUCCAUGAUUGCUGAUCCGUUAAAUAAAGCAGUUCCCACCAUUGUUUUCAAGAAGCAUGUCACUAGCAUGGGAGUCUUGGCUGGUUUUGAUGAAGCGAAUUAGUGGGAGCUAUGCAACAGGUUUAAACUUUUAUGCUAGUUUUAAUUUAAUAGCAAUUUAUGUUAUGGAGGAUAAGUUUUGAGUAUUAACAAUGAAGUUUUCUUAGCUAAUAAAGAAUAAAGCUGAAAGGUUGUUCAAGUUCCCUUAAAGAGUUUAGAUGUUAGCUAUGAUAAUGCAUGAAUAUUUUUGCAUGCUGUUUAUGAUUCUUAUUCAUUAUACAGUGUCAGACAACUUGAGGGCUUUAUAUAGAAGCACAUGGAUCGUUUUUCCAUUCUGAAAGGGACCAAAUGUUUGACAUAAUUAAUACAUGUUUGGUUGUGUCUUACAUGCUAUAUAUCUUGUUGCAAUCUUAUGUGUUGAUAAGCUUUACUAAAAGUAAUUAUGGGGACGGUACUCUUCAGUGUAAUGAGUGUGUUGCCCUAUAAUUCUCAUAAAUGCUUAACAAUGACGAAGACUGGAAAACUAAGAAGUGUCGAAAGUUAAUCUCAUGGCCAAUUCAGAUCCUUCCCAACUCCAGUAUGAUUAUACAACUUUACAAAGUAUUUGCUCUAGUGGGAGAAUGUAAGUUCUAUUUGAGAGCAAACACUUUGUGAUUUGUACAAAGACUUUUGGGACGACAAGGAGAUUAACAUUAGCACAUGCGGUAGACUUUUAAGGAGUUGUGUUACUUAGGUAUACAAGUCAGAAACAUUCUUAGAUAAACUAGAACUCUUCUAGCUGAUUUAUGCAUAAGUAAUCUUCGGUGAUAAGGUUAAUCUUUGAUAGGGUUUACUUAAUGGGAGGACUCCUAAUCAAAGCCCAUCACAUAUACUAUAUAACUGAGGUCCCUGUGCUCUCACUAAACACACGCAAGUUUACAGAAAUUCUCAAGCCCCAUUGAGUGAGUCUUGCUUCCGGUCAGUGCAGAGUUACAGAAGAGCCUCAGUUCCUUACCCUAUUUCUGAGACGAUGUCUUCCUCAGGUUAGUGGUUAGAUCGGUAUAUGAGUCAGUCUUUAUGUAUAUAUAACUAAUAAAGCUUUACUUACAAAUGGUACAGUUUGUAUUGUAAUAGAAUUGCAUCUAGAUGCGGAGGCAUCGUUGUGAAGCCAACAGUGACGAUGAAGUUGUGGAACUAACUGAGGUGGAAGUCCUGAGGAACAAAUCCGACAAGUAAUUCCCCAAGUCAUCUGGUGAAUAUCUUACCAACAACUCCAAAUUUUUCUCCCCACUUUGCAUUACCAUGUAUGUGUCAUAAAAUUCUUGAUAUCUUGGUACCAGUUUCUGCUCAAUUGAAACCUUUAAGUCAUCCCUCAAUUUCCUGUCCUCUACAAUCCAUGAUGUCUGUUUCCUAUAUGCCUCUUCAAACGCUGCGUUGAACCUUUUAAAGCAUUCCCUUGCCAUUUCCGGAGAUGUUUCUGAUGACUUCUCUGGUAAUGAUGAUAACACCUUUGUCCAGGCUGUGGAUUCGUAGUUUGAAGCGUACAGUUUAACCUUCUUCGUGUGUUCAGUGACCCAAUCUUCACCGAGGAGGAGUUUCAGGUUCGGUGUUUGCUGCACCUUCUCAACAAUGAAUUGAAGAUUGUUGACAAGGAAGAGAUAUGACAGAGACGCAUCUUUAUAAAUUUCAGCUUUCGUGUCGAGCUUGCACAUAAGGACUAGAAUGAGCCAAGCUAGGUGGACUGACACUGCUGGUGUUGAACCGUCAUCUGCCAUUGGGCUCUUGAAGUGAGAUACUUGAUUCUUCGGUGGUGGAUAGUCAGCAAGGAUAUCCGAGAGAGCUCCAUGGUGGUCUGCUAAUGAAGAUACUAAAUUCAUCACUGAUUGUGUCAACGGGUGAAUCCUGCCACCAGAGGCUAGAAAUUUUGAUGAAUCCUUUUGAAUGGUUGAUUCAAAGACAGAAAGACUAGACUGGACAGAAUCUGAAAGUUUGAGCCACGAUGCGAGAGCUUGUAGUUUUAUUGCUUGGGUUGAUGCAGAGGUAAAUAUUGAUUCAAUCUCUGGCCAAAGAUUGGAGAAUACUUCGUAGAGUUCCAGUUGCCAGAAAAUUCUUUCCCGGCACUUCUUGUUCUUCACUAUGAGUUCCGGAAAUCUGAAUAGGGUGGUUGCUCCUCCUUUUGUUAUCUCAUAGAAGCAUGAGUCUGCGAUUGUCUCGGAUGCUGAAAACACAUGAUCACAGAGAACUUUUUCUCCAUGAAAUAGUGCUUUCACAGCAAUCUUCGCAGCAUCCAUCCAGUUCAUGAUUAUGUUUUCUAGUCCUUCCGAAUCCAUUUUAUGGAUUUGGGAAGACUUGAACUGUUGGAUUCCAAGGCGAUACAAUCCCUCAUCUACUAUUGACUUUCGGAUAACUUUGUAUAUCUUCACACACUCAUGACCAUAGCCGGAACUGAUCAUACAAUCCGCUAUGGAUUUCAGAUCCGCCAUGGCGAGAGCCGAGACCCUCUCCACCUCAGUGAUCGACCCACCAACAAUUUCCAACUCUUCUGAUCCACCCUCGUCUUCACCAUUAAAUGUGCAUGAUCGGAUUGAGGUUCGACUUGAAACUGAUUCAGGGUCAAGGUGACGCCGGUUUGCAGACAAUAUCUCAUAAAACUCCCUUUCAAGCCUUUUCAUAGCUGUUUGCAUUAGGUUUUGAGCAAGCACGAGCUUGCUGGAUGGAGAGCUUUCAUGAACCAAAACAUGCAUAGCACUACGCAAGUCCUUU